AUCCAGCUGACAAGUCCCAAAUAGGACGAAACGCGCGUCAGGCUGGAU
Schistosoma curassoni is the source of this 48-nucleotide non-coding RNA. Lineage: Eukaryota; Metazoa; Platyhelminthes; Trematoda; Strigeidida; Schistosomatidae. The record is from Rfam.